UACGUAGGGUGCAAGCGUUGUCCGGAAUUAUUGGGCGUAAAGAGCUCGUAGGCGGUUUGUCGCGUCUGCUGUGAAAACUCGGGGCUUAACCCCGGGCCUGCAGUGGGUACGGGCAGACCAGAGUGCGGUAGGGGAGACUGGAAUUCCUGGUGUAGCGGUGAAAUGCGCAGAUAUCAGGAGGAACACCGGUGGCGAAGGCGGGUCUCUGGGCCGUAACUGACGCUGAGGAGCGAAAGCGUGGGGAGCGAACAGG
RNAcentral lists this ribosomal RNA (253 nucleotides) under uncultured bacterium. RNAcentral describes it as "partial 16S ribosomal RNA". It matches the Rfam family "Bacterial small subunit ribosomal RNA", at positions 524 to 776 of the family's 1533-position model. The record is from RNAcentral.